This 419-nucleotide long non-coding RNA is filed under the name Monodelphis domestica (gray short-tailed opossum). RNAcentral's name for it is "lncRNA (ENSMODG00000035515.2)". The record is from RNAcentral. Lineage: Eukaryota; Metazoa; Chordata; Mammalia; Didelphimorphia; Didelphidae.
UACUAGUAGAACAAUAAACCAUUUCUAUUUUGUUUUUCAAUAGAGAUGUGUAAGUGGAAUUAUGUGAAGAUUUCUCAUUUCAUGGACCUUUGCUACUUGACUCCCAUUCAUUUUCUUCAGAAAAGCUCAAGAAUCAUAUUUAUUGCCUGAAGAAAUCACUUGCCACUAUCUUCCCCUUAUACAACUUCUUGGGAGCAUGAACACAUGUCUACAUGAGAUGAAUUGUAGGGUGAAGAGGAGCAGAAGGAUAGAAGAAGGAAUCUCCCCAGCUUUCUCAAACCUUCCAAGUGGGCCUUCACAGUAAGGUUUCAUUUAAAGUAUUGUGAAUUUACAGCUGCCAUAUUGAAAUGUCUGGAUGCCCAUUUAGUCUAACUUUUGUGAACCACUAAUGUCCACCAGCAACAUUCAAAAUGAAUGUU